AACGAACGCUGGCGGCAGGCUUAACACAUGCAAGUCGAACGCCCCGCAAUGGGAGUGGCAGACGGGUGAGUAACGCGUGGGAAUCUACCCAACUCUACGGAAUACCCCAGGGAAACUUGUGCUAAUACCGUAUACGCCCUUCGGCGGAAAGCUUUAUCGGAGUUGGAUGAGCCCGCGUUGGAUUAGCGAGUUGGUGGGGUAAGGGCCUACCAAGGCGACGAUCCAUAGCUGGUCUGAGAGGAUGAUCAGCCACAUUGGGACUGAGACACGGCCCAAACUCCUACGGGAGGCAGCAGUGGGGAAUAUUGGACAAUGGGCGCAAGCCUGAUCCAGCCAUGCCGCGUGAGUGAUGAAGGCCCUAGGGUUGUAAAGCUCUUUCACCGGUGAAGAUAAUGACGGUAACCGGAGAAGAAGCCCCGGCUAACUUCGUGCCAGCCGCCGCCGUAA
This 447-nucleotide ribosomal RNA is filed under the name uncultured bacterium. RNAcentral describes it as "partial 16S ribosomal RNA". It matches the Rfam family "Bacterial small subunit ribosomal RNA", at positions 29 to 523 of the family's 1533-position model. The record is from RNAcentral.